UUAAGCGACUAAGCGUACACGGUGGAUGCCCUGGCAGUCAGAGGCGAUGAAGGACGUGCUAAUCUGCGAUAAGCGUCGGUAAGGUGAUAUGAACCGUUAUAACCGGCGAUUUCCGAAUGGGGAAACCCAGUGUGUUUCGACACACUAUCAUUAACUGAAUCCAUAGGUUAAUGAGGCGAACCGGGGGAACUGAAACAUCUAAGUACCCCGAGGAAAAGAAAUCAACCGAGAUUCCCCCAGUAGCGGCGAGCGAACGGGGAGCAGCCCAGAGCCUGAAUCAGUGUGUGUGUUAGUGGAAGCGUCUGGAAAGGCGCGCGAUACAGGGUGACAGCCCCGUACACAAAAAUGCACAUGCUGUGAGCUCGAUGAGUAGGGCGGGACACGUGGUAUCCUGUCUGAAUAUGGGGGGACCAUCCUCCAAGGCUAAAUACUCCUGACUGACCGAUAGUGAACCAGUACCGUGAGGGAAAGGCGAAAAGAACCCCGGCGAGGGGAGUGAAAAAGAACCUGAAACCGUGUACGUACAAGCAGUGGGAGCACGCUUAGGCGUGUGACUGCGUACCUUUUGUAUAAUGGGUCAGCGACUUAUAUUCUGUAGCAAGGUUAACCGAAUAGGGGAGCCGAAGGGAAACCGAGUCUUAACUGGGCGUUAAGUUGCAGGGUAUAGACCCGAAACCCGGUGAUCUAGCCAUGGGCAGGUUGAAGGUUGGGUAACACUAACUGGAGGACCGAACCGACUAAUGUUGAAAAAUUAGCGGAUGACUUGUGGCUGGGGGUGAAAGGCCAAUCAAACCGGGAGAUAGCUGGUUCUCCCCGAAAGCUAUUUAGGUAGCGCCUCGUGAAUUCAUCUCCGGGGGUAGAGCACUGUUUCGGCAAGGGGGUCAUCCCGACUUACCAACCCGAUGCAAACUGCGAAUACCGGAGAAUGUUAUCACGGGAGACACACGGCGGGUGCUAACGUCCGUCGUGAAGAGGGAAACAACCCAGACCGCCAGCUAAGGUCCCAAAGUCAUGGUUAAGUGGGAAACGAUGUGGGAAGGCCCAGACAGCCAGGAUGUUGGCUUAGAAGCAGCCAUCAUUUAAAGAAAGCGUAAUAGCUCACUGGUCGAGUCGGCCUGCGCGGAAGAUGUAACGGGGCUAAACCAUGCACCGAAGCUGCGGCAGCGACGCUGAUGCGUUGUUGGGUAGGGGAGCGUUCUGUAAGCCUGCGAAGGUGUGCUGUGAGGCAUGCUGGAGGUAUCAGAAGUGCGAAUGCUGACAUAAGUAACGAUAAAGCGGGUGAAAAGCCCGCUCGCCGGAAGACCAAGGGUUCCUGUCCAACGUUAAUCGGGGCAGGGUGAGUCGACCCCUAAGGCGAGGCCGAAAGGCGUAGUCGAUGGGAAACAGGUUAAUAUUCCUGUACUUGGUGUUACUGCGAAGGGGGGACGGAGAAGGCUAUGUUGGCCGGGCGACGGUUGUCCCGGUUUAAGCGUGUAGGCUGGUUUUCCAGGCAAAUCCGGAAAAUCAAGGCUGAGGCGUGAUGACGAGGCACUACGGUGCUGAAGCAACAAAUGCCCUGCUUCCAGGAAAAGCCUCUAAGCAUCAGGUAACAUCAAAUCGUACCCCAAACCGACACAGGUGGUCAGGUAGAGAAUACCAAGGCGCUUGAGAGAACUCGGGUGAAGGAACUAGGCAAAAUGGUGCCGUAACUUCGGGAGAAGGCACGCUGAUAUGUAGGUGAAGUCCCUCGCGGAUGGAGCUGAAAUCAGUCGAAGAUACCAGCUGGCUGCAACUGUUUAUUAAAAACACAGCACUGUGCAAACACGAAAGUGGACGUAUACGGUGUGACGCCUGCCCGGUGCCGGAAGGUUAAUUGAUGGGGUUAGCCGCAAGGCGAAGCUCUUGAUCGAAGCCCCGGUAAACGGCGGCCGUAACUAUAACGGUCCUAAGGUAGCGAAAUUCCUUGUCGGGUAAGUUCCGACCUGCACGAAUGGCGUAAUGAUGGCCAGGCUGUCUCCACCCGAGACUCAGUGAAAUUGAACUCGCUGUGAAGAUGCAGUGUACCCGCGGCAAGACGGAAAGACCCCGUGAACCUUUACUAUAGCUUGACACUGAACAUUGAGCCUUGAUGUGUAGGAUAGGUGGGAGGCUUAGAAGUGUGGACGCCAGUCUGCAUGGAGCCGACCUUGAAAUACCACCCUUUAAUGUUUGAUGUUCUAACGUUGACCCGUAAUCCGGGUUGCGGACAGUGUCUGGUGGGUAGUUUGACUGGGGCGGUCUCCUCCUAAAGAGUAACGGAGGAGCACGAAGGUUGGCUAAUCCUGGUCGGACAUCAGGAGGUUAGUGCAAUGGCAUAAGCCAGCUUGACUGCGAGCGUGACGGCGCGAGCAGGUGCGAAAGCAGGUCAUAGUGAUCCGGUGGUUCUGAAUGGAAGGGCCAUCGCUCAACGGAUAAAAGGUACUCCGGGGAUAACAGGCUGAUACCGCCCAAGAGUUCAUAUCGACGGCGGUGUUUGGCACCUCGAUGUCGGCUCAUCACAUCCUGGGGCUGAAGUAGGUCCCAAGGGUAUGGCUGUUCGCCAUUUAAAGUGGUACGCGAGCUGGGUUUAGAACGUCGUGAGACAGUUCGGUCCCUAUCUGCCGUGGGCGCUGGAGAACUGAGGGGGCUGCUCCUAGUACGAGAGGACCGGAGUGGACGCAUCACUGGUGUUCGGGUUGUCAUGCCAAUGGCACUGCCCGGUAGCUAAAUGCGGAAGAGAUAAGUGCUGAAAGCAUCUAAGCACGAAACUUGCCCCGAGAUGAGUUCUCCCUGACCCUUUAAGGGUCCUGAAGGAACGUUGAAGACGACGACGUUGAUAGGCCGGGUGUGUAAGCGCAGCGAUGCGUUGAGCUAACCGGUACUAAUGAACCGUGAGGCUUAACCUU
Molecule: ribosomal RNA, 2903 nt
Filed under: Escherichia coli
Lineage: Bacteria; Pseudomonadati; Pseudomonadota; Gammaproteobacteria; Enterobacterales; Enterobacteriaceae
Description: bacterial LSU rRNA
Rfam family: Bacterial large subunit ribosomal RNA
Source: RNAcentral